This 11041-nucleotide long non-coding RNA is filed under the name Vitis vinifera (wine grape). Its description in RNAcentral is "long non-coding RNA (VVIN_LNC006486)". Lineage: Eukaryota; Viridiplantae; Streptophyta; Magnoliopsida; Vitales; Vitaceae. The record is from RNAcentral.
UUUUUUUUUUUUUUUGUCUCUAUGUAAGCUAUAUCUAUGUAGGUUAGCUCUGUACUUUCUCUAUGUACUUUACUGCGAGAGAGAAGUGUUUGGGGAGAGAGAAACAGGAGAUUUUCUUUUAUAAGGUGGCGACUGUGAGUUUGUAGUAGAAUAAUACUGUUCUGGGAAAAUGGGCUGCGAAAGGUUUGGUGUUGUUUGGACAGAGAUUGUGCAUGGAGAAAUCUUUUUCUGGGAAAAUGAGCUGUGGGAAAUUGUGGUGAGAGAAAGGCAAUGAUAGUGGGGUCAGGUGGUCUAUUCUCUCAGCUCCAGAUUUGGUGGUGUUUGGACACAGAGAAAAAGACACAGAUUUUGUUCGAAGGGUAAAAAUAAACUGAGAUAGUCCUUUUUUGGGAAAUUCGGCUCAGAGGGAGAAAGAGAAAGAUGGUGGGGUUGGGAAGUCUUUUUCCUCAGAAUAAUCAGGCAUGGAGGGUGUAAGGAGAGAGAAACAGAGGCAGAGGUUUUCUUCCAAGAGUGGGGGUUUGUAAUAGAACAAUCCUUUUCCGGAAAAAUAAAGCGAGGAAGUCCUCUCGGGGAAAUUGGGCUAUGGCAAGAUAGAGAAGGUGGGGUCCCAGCCCUUCUCCAUCAAGCCAAGGGUUGGAGGUGUUUGGAGAGAGAAACAGAGAAUCAGAGUUUUUCUCGUGAGUUUCUAAUGGGACUCAUCCUUUUCUGGGAAAAUGGAGGGUGAGAGAGAAAUGUGGGUGGGGUUAUAACCUUAUGUGGGGUGGGCUUGAGGAAUGGGGUUUUGAUAUUGAGAGUGACAGCAAGGUUGAGGCGUAGAGGAGGGUAAGGAAUCGAGCCUCAAUUGGGCUGUCACGCUCUUUUUUUCUGUACAUGGGUAACGCGCUUUCAAAUUCCAGGGCCUUGGAAUUUGAUUUUCCACCUCUUAUUUUUCCUUGGAAAACAGACUGAUUUUCACACGCUGGAUGAUGCAAUGGCGAGGGCAAAUCUGAUAUUAUGUCAAAACCACAGGGCCUUAGUUUUACAUGAAAUUCAGAGUUUCGUCAGCCUCUAAAUGAUCCGGAUUGACACUGCAGCCACUUGAACAUGCUCCAUACAAAUUUCUCUCUCAAGAUAAUUUUAGAUUUUCAAAAGAUAAUUAAAAUUUAGGUAUUAGAGUGAACCUAUAUCAUGGAUAUAACAGAGUCAAUCCCGAUCCCAAUAUGAAAUUUUAAGUUACCACUUUGACCGGUUCUCGAAUUCAUGGGAUGCAAGAAGGAUGUUGUGUUAUGAUAUUUCAUAUCGCUUUUAAGGUAUAAAAUUUUUGAUAUUGCAUAAUAGACUCCAGUUUAGUAUGUAAAUGUAUUUAGAAACCGUCGUAGUCCAUUGGACUCGAAAUGAACGAUAUUUAUAUGGGAAAGAUGUGGGUAAGUAGGCAUGAUACAUUGGACCUAAUUCAAUCUAUUUCAUGAUAAAAAAAAAACUUCAAAAUUAGUUUAGCACAUGAGAGAAACAGGCAUGAAAACGUGUGGCUAUGUGGGAAUGAAGAAAACAAAAUAAAAAAUAGUCAUAGCCAACUAGCUUUGACUUGUAUGGGAUGAUGAGUUGGGAAGAUUCAAGGUAGUUGCAAAACGGGAUCUAUCCUUCUAUGAACACCUUUUCAUAAUGAAGCAGAACAAGAACUCUAGAGAAAAAGGAGAGAGACAUACUUCUCCUGGGAGCUUCAACAUCUCCAUGGCUUUGUUCUUCAACUUCUUCAGCUGUUUCUCAGAAUCUUCAGAAGCCUCAGCCCACACAUGUGAAGGUGGUGUUUGUAGAUUAAGCGACAGAAAGAUCCAUGGACAAACCUCCAAGAAGAAGAAGCAACACAGGGCAUGCGUUUGGAAUUCAUUUCCUGGCUUUUUGAUGAAAAGGGGUUGAAGGGUUUUUCUUUCUUCUGUUUUUCAUUUUUUUUCCUGGGAGUAUCAAAAUCAUGUAGCAUAUAUAUACGAUUAGCUAGAAGAUUGAAGGGCAUGAAGGAUCUGAAGUUGAAGUUGCACAAAGGGUCAGGAAUGUGUUUAUGAGGAUAUGUCUCUUUCUCUCUCUCUGUUUUUCCUUCUUGUUGAAUUGGCUACAUGAUUCCUUGGUGCCAAUGUUGUAGAUCACAUUCAGCCAAUUAGGCCAAGGAAUGAAUCAUUCAUGUAAUGGGCUUCUUUAUGAGAAAUGAAAUGGCAUGCCAAUUUACAGACAAAAACAACAUCAAAAAAGGAAGCCAGUAACAUUGCAAAUUCAUUUUCUUCCUAAAAAAAUGGGUUGGUUUUCUGUUUCCCAUCAGGGAUUUUCGUUUUCCCAUCAGACGAUAGCCAUCAAUGCAAAAUCCAUUUACAUAUCCAAGAGACAAAUUCCCACAAGGCCAUACUAUUUCUGUCAAUAAACAUCAUUCCAAUAAAAUUGGGAAACCACAGAAGUGACAAUUUAUAGAGAGAGAGAGAGAGAGAGAGAGAGAGAGAGGCAUAUCCAUUAGAAUGAUCACAUUCCAGGAACAACCCAUUUGCAGGAAACAAGAGAAUUAAAGCACAAAAUAGAUAAAAAGCAGAUCUCCUUCCCCAUUUUGAGAAAUUAUAUUCUAUCACAUGUACAUAAUGGCGCUAGCAGAUGCAAGAAAAAGAUUUUGAACCAUCAAAGCAAUUACAUAAAAUGCAUAUUACACCUGAAAUCUAAAUAAUUGAUCCUCAUCCGCCUGUAAUUGAUGUACAAUGCAUCAACUGGGAGUUUUUAUGUGUAAAUCUGGAGACUAAAAACUUGUAAAUACCCAAUAAAAAUCACAGUACAAAUCAUCCUCGUAUUCUCUUCUAAGGUUCUAGAUUUUCUGAGAAAACAUGAAUGUGGCCGCUGCAAAGUCAGUAGUCCUCAUUUGGAAAUGAAGAUUAAAACAAGUAGCUCUGCUUGCAAUUAUCUUUCCUUGGAUCCCGUAGAAUCGCAUCUGGAGCAUGCUACCAAAUUUUGAAUUCAUCUGAGUUGAACAAGUCCAUUUUAUCCAUGAGUAAAUCACAGUCCAAGACUUGAACCAAGUCAUCUCAAAGUUUUUGACCCAGACCGAAAAUGAUGUAUCCAAGCAGGGGCUUCUUUCACUUGUGAUGCAACUAAGCAGAGACAAAAUUUCACAUCCUGAGAUGAGUCACUCUGCUUUCUCUUCCCUUUUUGACAUAUUUCUUGAACAAAUGCCCACUUAGAGUUGCAAAGCCAGGUCAGGCUGCUGAGAAUCAACCAGAACGCCUGAAGACUGUCUCACUGGAGACCCUGAUGGUUGGAAACCAAUAUUCAAGUCUGGAGGAAGUGUUUCCUGUCUAUGCCUUGGCUGGGUAUUUGGAUUAAGACCUUGCCAAGGCGACUGCAUCUGAAAUCUAGACAAGUCAGCCGUCACUAAUUGAGGGAAAAUCACUGGUCUGUUUUGGAACUGUGCUUCACCUAUUCGAACAGGCUGUGGAACAAAGGCCUGAAGUGGAAAACUGUUCUUCUCGGACUGAAAAUGCAUCCCACCAGAAACAGGAAAUUCACCUCGAAAUCGUGUAACUUGUGGGUGGAGCUCCCUCGUUGGAUUGUAUAGGGAAUCUGCAGAAAUAUGAUUUUUGGGUGUAAUUGAAUUUUCUGCAACUGGUUUAAACCCUCCAGCCCCUAUGGACAUCCAUGCCCGUGCUGCAGUAGCUGCAGCAUUGCUUGAAUCACUUCUUGGGGAUGGGAUUGAUGGCAUAGCAGGUGGACUAUCAACUGGGGAAUGAUUUGAAGAUUUUUGCUGCUUUUGAGCCUUUUCAGCUAAUUUCCUCAUCAACUGAACUGGGUCACUGAGACCCUGCUCUGCUCCAUGGGGAAGGUAAGUAGGCACUCUAGCCAGUUGACUCGGAACAGUAUCAGAGGCAGAACCAAUCAUUUUAUUACCAUCUAUUCUACUUGAGGGUUUUCCAUUGGUCAAUCCUCCUGCAACAACCCCAUUAGUAUCUGGCAGCUUAAAGGGUAGCGACUGCAAAAUAUUCCUGCUUCUUGACACAGCCUCCAUCGAUCUGGGAGUUGCAGCCUCUGAACCAUUCAGGAGCUGCUUUUCUGAAACAAGAUCUGCAUGGUUUUGACUGGCUGAGGGUGGGCAAUUCAAUUCAACUUGCUUUAAAACCUUUUUCUCAGGCUGGGUAAAAUUCCUGGAUAGUGGGUUUUGCUGCUGAUUACCGGUAUUGACAGGGGGAGUGGAUUUUGUUCCAGCAGAACCAAACAAAGGUUGUUUCCUUUCUGUAGUAGGUGCACUAGCAGGACAAAAUAAAGAUUGCUUCCCUUCUAAAGUAGGCCCACUAACAGAAUGCUCCUUGGCAGGAACUGGGGGUUUAGAAAUUUUUUCAUCCUUCCGCAAAACAGCAUUAUGCUGCAACUUUGGAACCAAAAAAGGUUCCUUUUGUAUGCGAGUUUCAAGCAUUAAAACUGGGGUCGGAAGUGGCUCAAAUUCUCCAACCCACCCACGACCAAAUUUGGACCCCACAGGAAGUGCCUGCUCAAUCCUCUGGGAGGCAACUUUCCAAGCAACAGGUCCAAGAGUAGCAGCAAAACGAGCUAGGCUCCUAGCAUAAGAAUGAUCUGCAUGAAGCCCAACCUGAUUCAGAAAAAGAAACUGAUGAGUACAAAUGCAGAGCAUUCAAGGGGAGAUGUAAAUUUAUUGGCUACAUACAGCAACCAGUUGUUUGGCUUCAGCCUCAAAGGUAUUAAAUAUUGUCUCAGAUCCAACAAUUGGUUGAUUGGAUAUGCUAUAUGUUGCACGACGGUUCUCAUCAACCACAAAUGGCUUCCUCCCGAAUUUAGAAAGGAGACCCUUUCCUAAAACAAUAAGGCAAUCCAACAAUUAGAAGGCAACAACAUGAUCAUGAUAACAUAAACUACUAAAUGGAAUAUCUAGGGAUAAUAAAACAAAAAACAAUAGUUGUCAACUUGUAAAUGGUAUCAGAUAAGAUUUUCCUAUUUCUCAGUAUCAAGCACUAUAUCGUAUCAUGUAUCAUAAGUUCUUUUACAAAUUGGAAAAUAAAAACAAAAUGGUGAUUAGUGCACAUGCAUAUUAUAAGACUGAAGCAUAAAGCAAUAUAUAACUAAUUUCACAACAAACAAUAGGGCCAAAAGAGGCAAAUUUAGGCAUUUAUGAAUAUCAUACAAAUAUGGUUUUGAUGAAACCAACUUAAAAAGAUAUAAUAUUUUAAUGCAUAAGUUCAUUGUUAAACCACCCAAUAAACUAAGCUUUAGGUAUAACUUUGAGUUCCUAAUUCCAAUUAAACAGUUAACAAAUAUCGCUAUGCUAAAAAAUUAAAGUUCUAUAAGUCUCCAACCAAUAUGCUAGAAAAGGAAGAAUGGUCACUUACAAUAACUGUAUAACUAUGUACUUGUAUAGACUGAUGAUAUACACAUGUUCACAUGUCAUGUUCAGAUUCAACAUCCAAAAUGCAUUUCUGCAUCCUCUUAAAAGGAGAAAACAAACUCUAGAAAAAAAAAAACUGAUAUAGUAAGUAAAGGUCAUCCCUCUUCUUUCAUCAUUCUCGAGGUCAACCCUUUCACUGGAACUAUAUUUAAACUUCAAUCUUCCAUGCGCGCUUUCAAGAACACAUUUAUAAUGUGCAUAUAAUCAUUCUCGCCCUUCCUUCAAUUUUUUUGUCAUCUAUUUUUAAUCUUUUUAUUUUAUAGGGAAAUGAAAUAGAAUUAUAUCACCUACACUUAAGAUGCAACAAGUAGCUGUAGACACACUGUUUUGCAUUACACGCUCACUCACCAAAUCAUAUUUGUCAUAUUGUGGACUGCAAGUUUCUAACAACCAUGCAUAAAAUCUUAAUCAGGUAUUAUAAUGUUUUUGAUUAGCAACCUUACAAUGUUGAACAGCCUUAUAUCCAGCAAGUUCCUUUGGGUUCAUUCCAUCUUGAAAUAAUUGAGUUAUUAUCAGAUAGUCCAUGGAAUUGGACAAAACUUUGAGAAUCUAAAGCCUUGUCGGGAUUGAUUUAAAGGCCUCAAAAUCACUUUUGCAACAAUUUUUUUUUACAUAUAUUGUAAUUGGUAAACUAACAAGUGAUUGCUAAAGAAUCUAACCCACUUUGGCAACAGUUUGAAAAUGCAGGUAAAAGAUAGCUUUCCAAAAAUAAUUUUCAAAGAAUAAGACUUUUUACCUUAAAUUGCCUAUUAUGUCUUCAAAAAAUUUCAUUUUAUGAUUUUUUUUUUCUUUUUUACAUAUUUUUCUCUCUCGUGAUCUUCUAAUCCAAAACCUUGUCUCAUGGGAUUUAUAUUUUAAGCUAGUCAUUAUAAAAGAAAACAAAUCUAUUUACAAAUAAAUUUACUUGAAUUCACUGGAAAUAAAACAUAAGUCUUUCAAAAUUAAAAUUGAAAAUAGGAAUAGUAAUAAUUGAAUUUUAAAUAAUUACUUGAAUACACUUAAAAUAAAAAGAAUAGUAAUAAUUAAAUUUCAAAUUUUUAACAUUCUUAUUUUGAUCACUAUACAUGUUUGCAGCAACGUGGUAUUCUAAUUAACCAAAUACUUAAAUCUUAUUUUUAAAAUAUACAGCACUUUUAACUGAUUUUUUCUUUAGACACGACUAAAAGCGAUUUUCCUAAAAGUUGUGGCAAUACCAAACUAGCCCUAACUCUAUGGAUGUAAUAAUCACAACUAACAAGAAGUCAUGAAACCCACUAGCGCUCUUUUAAAUAGCUUUGAAAUUAUACAUAAUUGUAGAAAAUAACCACUUUGUACAUACCUGAGAAUAGUUCUUCUGCCUUCUCUAGAUUAUUAUCAAUCUGGGAAGGAUUACUCUCUAUUAUAAGGCCAUCAACAUUGCUUGGCCUUUCACAACCACCAGCUUGGGUUGCAUUAAAACCAUUCUGGACAUCUCCCAUUGUGGCAAGAGUGGCACCUGACGAGAAAUCGGAGCCAACAGGUUCCUGUGCAGUCCGGAAAAUCGGCUUCUUUAUUUGCUUCUUCACCAAGGGGUUGGAUCUCAUUUUCUGUUCUGAUUUGAGAUCUUUCUCAGAUCGUUCUGGCUUGAGCUCUUUCUCAGAGCGUUCGGACUUGAGCUCUUUCUCAAAGCGCUCCGGCUUGAGCUCUUUCUCAGAGCGUUCUGACUUGAGCUCUUUCUCGGAGCGUUCUGACUUGAGCUCUUUCUCAGAGCGUCCAAUGUCAAUUCUUAACUUCUGGAAUUUCUUUCUUGCCAGCUCUUGAAUGGCGCGUGCCUUUCCAUUAUAGUUUAGUAAUAACAUUAAAUACCGACUAAGCCCGCAAAACAAAAGCAAUUGAAGAUGAUUAAAAUAAAGGGGCCAAAAGCCUUGUACCUGUUUAUGGUAUAUGGUAUCUGGGGCAUUGUAUUGCAUUGCAUUGGUGCAAAUCAGAAAAACGUCACUCUACAUUCAAGAAAACCAAUUUUACAAGCCAAUACAUAUAAAGAGUCACACUUUUCUAUCAGAACAUGGUUUCUUGGGAGAAGGAAUUCAAAUUCAAAUCAAGCAGGUUACUCAAGAAAGAAAAUGGAAAACACGCAUACACACAUGCAGCACACAUGGAUGCAGGCAUGCACACACACACCACACACAAAUGCAGGCAUGCAUGCAAACAAGCUCAUGCACACACAAAAGCCUUCUUAAUUACCAAAACACCGCAAAAAUAUAUGCUUAUAUCCACAUUCUUUUAAUAAAAAUGUAUAAUGACCUUUAAGGAACCUUCUUCCAUACCUAGAAAAAGUGCAUCCUGUAGCAUAUCCUUCAGAAGGAACUUUAGAAAAUGAAAUACUGCAGUUCUUUUAACAUUUGAAAAAGAUUUUGCCUCAGUUCCAUUGGAGUUUGGACUUGCUUCAUUUUAUGUAUAAUAGGGGUUCCACCAUUUCAAUGCUAUUGUCCAUAUAACAUAGGAUCACACCCUCAUCAAUGUAGUUGGACAAUACAUUGAUAUGGUCUAUGUGGAUAUUAUCCAAAUACCAAGAGUUAGGGAGCUGAGAUGCAUUACCUCAGAAAUGAUUUAUUUUAAGAAAAAAAUUUGUCCAACCAAGAAACAGAAUGGUAACCACAAAUAUGGAGAAGGAUAUGUAGAAAUACGAGGAAAGGUAAUAUCAGAAAAUGAAAAAAUCAUUUUGCAAAUGUUUAGCAGAGAAAUUUGCUAAUUUAGCAAAGUUAACAUCCAAUUAUUCUGUGCCAGUUAUUAAGCUGAGAGCAACCCUAGGAUGUUAAACCAUCAAAUCAAAACCAACAGAGAAGACAAGUUUCAUUCUAGUAAUCCAACAAAAUAAGGUGCCAGAUCAUAUGAUAGCAUCAUCAGAUUAAACUUUUGGCACUGGAGCAAACAUCAGUAGAUGACAAAGCAAAACCUACUAUUGACAAACACUAAGAAAAAGUGCUUGGUUUGGAAGUAAGUGAUGGGAUUGAAAGACCAAAUUUGAGAAUUACAUUAGGAAGGAGUAUAAUCUAUGAUAUGAGGAUGCUUGCACUAGCAAAAUUAGUAUGCCAGACACAUUGUGCCUGUGAAGGUCUCAACAUAAGUGCAAAGCCACAAGUUUGCAUUUGCCAUCCUCUCAUGACACAUAAAUUUAAUAUUUGAACCAGUAAAAUGGAAAAAUAAAAAUAAAAAUAUGAAUCCCUACAUGCAGCACCCUACCAAGAGGGAAAACACAGUAAACGACAAUUCAAAACUAAGGGCUGGCCACCUUCUAAACUGGUUAUUCACAAGUCAACCAAACAGGUUAUAUCUUUCUUUGACCAUGUGCACAAACACUCCUAUAGAGGAGUUACAUUGAUAUUAUCGAUGUAGUUGCCUAAGCUUAUCAGUGUCAGAUUCAAAAUAGCAGGCUUCCAUGAGCAAUUAGUAUGUCAGAUGCAUUGUCUGUGUGAAGGUUUCCACAUACAGGCACUGUCCAUCCAAAGGUUUCCAUAUGCAGGUACAUGUGGAGUAAAUCAAUGUCUUUUUGUUGUUUCUCACUUUUCAAUUACGCAACAGGAAUACUUAUAUACAAAAACACCAAAAAGCAGCAAAACCAAGUUAUGGAGGUAUAGAAGCCUCACUCAAAUGGUCAAAAAUAAGAAACAAAAAGAAAGAUAAAAGAAGCAUAAACAUAGAUGACUGGCAGCUUGACAGGCAUAUUAGCCCCCACAACACCCCAAGCCAUCCACAAAAUCAAGGAAAGAAACUCUCAUACCCAGAAGAGCCUCUAGCCACAAACACAGCCAACUUAAGACAAUAUCUUUAGUUUUGGAGCUGAAAAUUCUAACCUUCAAUUAGGUUCCUUCCAAAAUUCACUGGGCCUCAUGGAUUAGGAGUAUUCUCCAUGCCUACCUUCUCAUUUAUGGAAAAUUUUCCCAUGCCAACACAACAAAGCUGCUUCAGUGACUUUGAUAAAAUCCAAAUAAUCCUAGAAUGAGGGGAAAAAAUCACAGGAAAGGUCUCCAGCUACGGUACGGUGAAUUGAAAGGUAACCGGAAGACACCUUGUCCCACUUGUACAUCAAAACCAGUUUGAAAGGAACCUCUCUAUGUUAAAGUUGAUUAAUAGUAUGAUCCUUUCCUAAACUGCAGGCCAAAUGAAAACACCAGUUUCGACGGAAAUCCCCAUAAAUAAUUUACCAGAUAUUUUAUUGAUAAUCAUAAAUGUAUUUCUGCAUAUGGAACAGCAAAAUAACUCCUUUCAGAACAAACAUUUGGAAGAAAGAAAAAUGAACACAGAGAGAAAAUACAUGUAAACUGGGGUUAUAAGAAAAACCCACUUUUCAUGGUAACAAAUGGCAUCCAUGAGCCAGUAAUCACAUCAAAUACACCUUUCCCACCUAAAUACCACAGAUGCAAUAUUAAUUAAGAAAGUGAAGCAACAAAGGGAGGAUUAACCACCACAGUUAUUGAUUACAAAUGACAUGCCUGAUUGAUUGAGGAAAAACGAUUAAUUUUAGACAGCAUCAAAUGCAUGCAUUUAACAACUAAGACCCAUAAAAUCUGCUAAAUAUGGAACAUCACAAUCCAACUCAUCUCCAACAUAAAGAAGAAAUCACAUAUCUCUUAGACCAAAACAGGUGCAUUAAAUGAAGCAAAUGCAAGUUAUAGUUACCUCAAAUUCCUCAAAGGUACGAUAUGACCCAUUCCCAAGUUUCUUCCUCACUGUCGCGAAGUCCAUUGGAUGCUCAAUCACAUCAUGAUAAUCAGGCAGCUAUAAGAACCAACACAAGUUAUAGACUCCAAUGCAAAUAAUGUCUUCAAAUUACAUAAAGCAAAUUAAGAGAGUAUUUCAAACACCUCUUCAGGAUCCACUGGUUCUGCAUAAACACCAUAUAUAUCUUUCCUGCCACAAUUCCAAACCAAAACAAAUUGUAUAAUAAGCAACACAUUAUCUGACAAAAGAUAACAUUCAUAUAAAUAAAGGAGUGCAUCGCCUACUUCUGAAGUUUGUCAAGAAUCAACUCCAGUGACUUCUUAUCAGGCAAUGGAAUCCCAGAUGAAACCUCUGCUGGCGUACCUAAACAAAUCAACCACCCAAGAUCAAAUUCCAAUAUCAUCGGAGAAAACCAAGCAAAACCCAUAAAUCAAAACCAAAAUACAAUAAUAAUAACAAACCUAGAACAGAGUCCAUCCCUUUUGAAUCCGCCUUUCGUCCUCUUUCCUGUCAAAAUCCACAGAACCCCAAACUUAAACCCCACCAACGCAAACAAAUACACUUAUGUCUGAAGCAGGAAGAAGGUAUGAGAAAAAAAGUAGACACAGACAGAGAGAGACAGAGACAGAGACAGAGAGAGACAGAUAAGCAGACAAACAAAGAGAAAUAUAUAUAUAGUUAGAGAGAGGGUAGAGAGAGAAAGGUGGUGGCGUGAUCAGAUUCUGUGGGGGUCGUUUUGACAGUUGACCCGACCGUUAAAACCACGCCCACCUCUCUCCCGACAGUGAGAUUUAGAGAGAGAAAGAGAGAGCAUUAUACAAGUCCGGACCAAUUACAAAAAUCUCAGUGAUUUCAGCUGAGCUGGACACUUCCCCCUCUCUCUCUGGCAAAGCCAAUACUCAGAAUCCAAACCCUCUAUUGCUCAGUUCUCUCUCAGCUCACUUCGCAUUUUCCCGCUUCCAG